GACAAACGCUGGCGGCGUGCCUAACACAUGCAAGUCGAACGGAGACAAAGUUUACUUUGUUUAGUGGCGGACGGGUGAGUAACGCGUGAGCAACCUGCCUUUCAGUGGGGACAACAGUUGGAAACGACUGCUAAUACCGCAUGAUGUAUUUUGUGGACAUCCACGAGAUACCAAAGAUUUAUCGCUGAAAGAUGGGCUCGCGUCUGAUUAGCUAGUUGGUGAGGUAAUGGCUCACCAAGGCGACGAUCAGUAGCCGGACUGAGAGGUCGAUCGGCCACAUUGGGACUGAGAUACGGCCCAGACUCCUACGGGAGGCUG
RNAcentral lists this ribosomal RNA (318 nucleotides) under uncultured Bacillota bacterium. RNAcentral describes it as "bacterial SSU rRNA". It matches the Rfam family "Bacterial small subunit ribosomal RNA", at positions 28 to 351 of the family's 1533-position model. The record is from RNAcentral. Lineage: Bacteria; Bacillati; Bacillota.